This 478-nucleotide long non-coding RNA is filed under the name Gossypium raimondii (Peruvian cotton). RNAcentral describes it as "long non-coding RNA (GRAI_LNC004422)". The record is from RNAcentral. Lineage: Eukaryota; Viridiplantae; Streptophyta; Magnoliopsida; Malvales; Malvaceae.
AAGGGGAGACCUGACACUUAGUAGUAUAGAACAAUAUCUCGAUAGCACUUCAGGAAAGGGGCGUCCAAGUAGAGAAUAGAAGUAGCAAUCGAAAUUUGGGAAGAAAAACAUACGAGAUUCGUCAAUUGGAAUUCAGUAGCAACAAAGGGGAGUUAAGGGAGGAAAAACGACGGUAAGUGGGAAGAAAAGCAAAAGAAAAUAGCAAAAAUGAUUUGGAAAAAGAGGAAAGAAGAAAAAAGGAAAAAACUCGGCAGAAAAAAUAAAGAAGCAGAAGGGAAAAACUGACAGAAAGUUGGGAGUGUGAGAGGAAGAGUGCCAAAACUUGCCACUACCCAAUUUGGGAUAAUUUGAAACUCCUUCAUCCCUUAGUUUUCUCCCUAAAUCAGUCCAACACCUCCCCCCACUGUCCACCACAAUCCCCUCAAGAAUAGAAUUCCAAACCCACUCGAACACUAUAGAAUUUCGGUCAAACUACAAC